AACGAACGCCAGCGGCGUGGAUUAGGCAUGCAAGUCGAACGGAGACCGUAGCAAUACGGUCUUAGUGGCGGAAGGGUGAGUAAUGCAUAGAUAACCUGCCCCCGAGACCGGGAUAACUUCGGGAAACCGAAGCUAAGACCGGAUGGGGUCGCUGGAGCGCAUGUUUCGGCGACUAAAGGAGGCCUCUGAAAAUGCUCCCGCUCGGGGAGGGAUCUAUGUCCUAUCAGCUAGUUGGUGAGGGUAACGGCCCACCAAGGCAUUGACGGGUAGCCGGCCUUAGCGGGUGUCCGGCCACAUUGGGACUGAGACACUGCCCAAACUCCUACGGGAGGCUGCAGUCGAGGAUCUUCCGCAAUGGGCGCAAGCCUGACGGAGCGACGCCGCGUGUGGGAUGAAGGCCUUCGGGUUGUAAACCACUGUCACUCGUUAAGAAAGGGUUGGGGGUUAACAGCCUCCAGCACUGACGAAGGCGAGAGAGGAAGCCACGGCUAACUUCGUGCCAGCAGCCGCGGUAAGACGAAGGUGGCGAGCGUUGUUCGGAAUCACUGGGCAUAAAGCGCACGUAGGCGGUGCCGUAAGUCGGAUGUGAAAUCCCUCGGCCUAACCGAGGAACUGCGUCCGAUACUGCGGUGCUUGAGGAUCAGAGGGGUGCAUGGAAUUUCCGGUGGAGCGGUGAAAUGCGUUGAUAUCGGAAGGAACUCCGGCGGCGAAAGCGAUGCACUGGCUGAUUUCUGACGCUGAGGUGCGAAAGCCAGGGGAGCAAACGGGAUUAGAUACCCCGGUAGUCCUGGCCGUAAACGAUGGGUACUAGGUAGGGGGAUUUCAAACGUCUCUCUGCUGGAGUGAAUAUAUUAAGUACCCCGCCUGGGAAGUACAGUCGCAAGGCUG
This 888-nucleotide ribosomal RNA is filed under the name uncultured bacterium. RNAcentral's name for it is "bacterial SSU rRNA". It matches the Rfam family "Bacterial small subunit ribosomal RNA", at positions 28 to 896 of the family's 1533-position model. The record is from RNAcentral.